UCCUCCCUCUGGCGGCGUGCUUAACACAUGCAAGUCGAACGGAGAGGCCCUGCUUUUGUGGGGUGCUCGAGUGGCGAAAGGGUGAGUAACACGUGAGUAAAAUGCCCUUGCCUUUGGGAUAACUUCCGGAAACUGGGGCUCAUACCGGAUAGGUGCUCCUGCUGCCUGGUGGGGGUUGGAAAGUUUCGGCGGUUGGGGAUGGACUCGCGGCUUAUCAGCUUGGUGGUGGGGUAGUGGCUUACCAAGGCUUUGACGGGUAGCCGGCCUGAGAGGGUGACAGGCCACAUUGGGACAGAGAUACGGCCCAGACUCCUACGGGAGGCAGCAGUGAGGAAUAGUGCACAAUGUGCGGAAGCCUGAUGCAGCAACGCCGCGUGCGGGAGUACUGCCUUCGUGUUGUAAACCGCUUUCGCCUGUGACUAAGCGUGAGUGAGGGUAGUGGGUAAAGAAGCACCGGCUAACUACGUG
RNAcentral lists this ribosomal RNA (468 nucleotides) under uncultured bacterium. RNAcentral's name for it is "partial 16S ribosomal RNA". It matches the Rfam family "Bacterial small subunit ribosomal RNA", at positions 36 to 507 of the family's 1533-position model. The record is from RNAcentral.